This 253-nucleotide ribosomal RNA is filed under the name uncultured bacterium. RNAcentral's name for it is "partial 16S ribosomal RNA". It matches the Rfam family "Bacterial small subunit ribosomal RNA", at positions 524 to 776 of the family's 1533-position model. The record is from RNAcentral.
UACGUAGGUGGCAAGCGCUGUCCGGAUUUAUUGGGUUUAAAGGGUGCGUAGGCGGCCUUGUAAGUCAGUGCUGAAAUAUCCCGGCUUAACCGGGAGGGUGGCAUUGAUACUGCAGGGCUUGAGUAAAGUUGAGGUUGGCGGAAUUGACGGUGUAGCGGUGAAAUGCUUAGAUAUCGUCAAGAACACCGAUAGUGAAGACAGCUAACUAAGCUUUAACUGACGCUGAGGCACGAAAGUGUGGGGAUCAAACAGG